AGACCCGAAACCCGGUGAUCUAGCCAUGGGCAGGUUGAAGGUUGGGUAACACUAACUGGAGGACCGAACCGACUAAUGUUGAAAAAUUAGCGGAUGACCUGUGGCUGGGGGUGAAAGGCCAAUCAAACCGGGAGAUAGCUGGUUCUCCCCGAAAGCUAUUUAGGUAGCGCCUCGUGAAUUCAUCUCCGGGGGUAGAGCACUGUUUCGGCUAGGGGGUCAUCCCGACUUACCAACCCGAUGCAAACUGCGAAUACCGGAGAAUGUUAUCACGGGAGACACACGGCGGGUGCUAACGUCCGUCGUGAAGAGGGAAACAACCCAGACCGCCAGCUAAGGUCCCAAAGUCAUGGUUAAGUGGGAAACGAUGUGGGAAGGCCCAGACAGCCAGGAUGUUGGCUUAGAAGCAGCCAUCAUUUAAAGAAAGCGUAAUAGCUCACUGGUCGAGUCGGCCUGCGCGGAAGAUGUAACGGGGCUAAACCAUGCACCGAAGCUGCGGCAGCGACACUCAGGUGUUGUUGGGUAGGGGAGCGUUCUGUAAGCCUGCGAAGGUGGCCUGUGAGGGUUGCUGGAGGUAUCAGAAGUGCGAAUGCUGACAUAAGUAACGAUAAAGCGGGUGAAAAGCCCGCUCGCCGGAAGACCAAGGGUUCCUGUCCAACGUUAAUCGGGGCAGGGUGAGUCGACCCCUAAGGCGAGGCCGAAAGGCGUAGUCGAUGGGAAACGGGUUAAUAUUCCCGUACUUGGUGUUACUGCGAAGGGGGGACGGAGAAGGCUAUGUUGGCCGGGCGACGGUUGUCCCGGUUUAAGCGUGUAGGCUGGUUUUCCAGGCAAAUCCGGAA
RNAcentral lists this ribosomal RNA (836 nucleotides) under Salmonella enterica subsp. enterica. RNAcentral describes it as "partial 23S ribosomal RNA". It matches the Rfam family "Bacterial large subunit ribosomal RNA", at positions 711 to 1547 of the family's 2925-position model. The record is from RNAcentral. Lineage: Bacteria; Pseudomonadati; Pseudomonadota; Gammaproteobacteria; Enterobacterales; Enterobacteriaceae.